Molecule: RNA transcript, 4645 nt
Organism: Setaria italica (foxtail millet)
Lineage: Eukaryota; Viridiplantae; Streptophyta; Magnoliopsida; Poales; Poaceae
Exons: 6
Source: RefSeq, a predicted model, not a curated record
UAGAUCUGUUAGUCCUUGAGGAGGUGCUACUGUGGCUCGAGUUUGGUUUGGAUCCGUGGCUCGAGUUUCAAGUUGGGCGUUUUUCUUGGUGUUCUUCUGUUCUUGUUUCUGUUCGUGAGCUUUGGGUUCACGCAAAGGGAGAGGCGACGCGCUGCAGCGGCAUCCAGCACGUGCGACGCAGGCCAGCGGCUGCACCUCGCGGGCCAGGCGACGUAGCUGCAGGCCGGCGGCAGCAGGCCCGACGCAGUACAGGCCGAAGCGACCUGCCACACGCGACACGCUCGUGCCAAGGCAGCCCAGCUGGUGGCCAGCGGCCGAGCACCCAGCGACGCACUAGGCGGCCCAGCUCGCGCAGGGGACGGAGGCCAGAGCAUCCACCAGCCCGACGGCACCAGGCCUGCCCAGGCGGACAGCCGCAACGACAUGCAUCAGGAGCGAGGUGCAUUUAGGGUGGCAAACGGGAUAUAUAUUUUGUUCUUGGAGAGAAUUUUUUUAAAGGCUCCCAUUCACCCCUCUGUGGUCGCCCAUCCCAGUCCUUCAAUUGGUAUCAAAGCUUGGUUAAGGAUCACACCAUCUUAAUCGGCUUUGUGAUCCAUAGGACGAUAAGGUAAAGGGCGUUUUUUCUUGCGGAUUUGGUUUUUUGAGUUUUGAGCUUGCUUUCGACUAAUCCUAACUGGUGCUUUGAGCUAUGGCACCAAGCUCUUCUUCUUGUGUUUCAUUAUCUUCAGGUAGUAGGAGUUUGGAGAUUGAGUUGGAAUCAGAAGUGGAGGCGGUGAUAGAUCUCCUCGAGAACUACCAAGACGGUGAUCACGAAGGGUGAGUUCUACCGCAGGCUAAGAGACAUGAGCCAAGGUACGCUUGCCAAAUGCAUCAUGAUUUUAUGCAAUCGUGUUGAUGAUUGUGAAGAUGAAAAUGAGAGAAACAUUGAGCUUUGUGAUGCUUUGCAUAGGAAGAAUGAGAUGAUGAAAUGUUCUCUUGCUAAGUUGAAAUGUGGAAUUGCUCAUUGGAAAUCACGUGCUCUGAAUCCUUGCAAUUCUUGUGAUAGCUUACUUAAAAUGAACGGUGAAUUGAAGUCUUCUCUUGCUUGCUUAAAAUCUGAAAAUGACUUGUUGAAUUGCAAUGCCUCUAUGCCAUGUAAUUCAUGUGUUGGUUUGAAUAAUGAUCUUGAUAAGGCUAGAGAUGAAAUUGCUCUAUUGAAAUCUAAUGCUUCUUUACCAUGGGUUUCAUGUGAGUAUUUGCUUGCUGAAAUAAUGAAUUAAAAUUGACUUACACCACAUGUGUUGAACAACUUGAGCAUGUUAAAGCUAAAAUUUGUAAAAUGAAGUCUAUGCCUUGUAGCAUGUGCUCUUUGGUUCUAGAUGAUGAUGCUUGCCUUACUUCUUGUGAUAAUAAUGCCGUGCUUGAUGUGAAUGAUGAUGAUUGUUCAUGCGAACUUAUUUGCACAUCAUGCAUUGAAUUGGAAAGUGAAGUUUUGGCUUUGAAGCAAAUGCGCGAUGAUAUGAGCGCCAAGUUGGUUGAGCGCAAUGAGAUGAGUGCUAAUUUUGAGAAAGAAAAUAAUUUUUGCAUACCACAUAUGCUAAGUGCAUUGAAAAGGAGAUGGAUAAUUUGAGAAAUGCUCCAUGUGGUAGUUGUGAUUGCUUUAAACAUGAAAAUAAGAUUUUGGCCACAAGAUGCAAGAGUCUUUGUGCUAAGUCUUUUGAUUUUCGUAAUUCUUGUCACUCCGAUGUUAGUGCUUCCAUAAUUGCUUCUUCCCUAUCGGAGUUGGCUUCUUGUGUUGAGCGUGAGUCUUUGGACGAUAGCACCUGUGCUAGUGCUUUGAAUAGCUCUUUUAUAGCUACUCCUCAGCUUAUUGCUUCUUCCGGUAUUGCCCAAGGCAAUUCAGUGGCAAGGGUGCUUCUCACAUUUUUGGAACUCAUACUCCCAAACUGAAGUUCCAUUGCACCUUUUGUAAGAAUGAUGUGCACACCGAGCUUUUGCCGUGUCAAGCAUGAGAGAUGUGUGCGUGCCAAAGCUUUUAGGAAGCCACGUAGCCUUUCCCAUGGCACGUGUGAUCCAAAUGUGGGUACCAAAUCAAAUGGUGUUGUUGAUACUUCUUGCUCUAAAUCCCAAGAAACAUCUCACUUGAAUGAGAAUGGUAAUUUGUCCUCUCGAACCGUACCUCCAAAUAGGCCUUUGUACCAUUGCUCUUAUUGUGAGAAAGAUGGGCAUCAAGAGACUUUUUGCUAUCACCGUGCAAUACAAAAGCAGCGAGCUUAUACUUCUAGGCUUUUGGUUGUUCAUAGCCCUACUUAUGGUAUGAACACUUGUGAGCCUAGUGCUUCUAGCACUCUUGUGGUGGAAUUUACUUAUCGAGAUUUGAGUUUACUUAUCGAGAUUUGAGUCCUCGAUUUAGCAUGGGUGCUCACAUUUACUCACGUAAGCAACGUGCCUGACAAGGCACCAGUGGUGGUUCAUCAAUCUAAAGGAUCUGCCGGCUCCAUAAUAAAGUUGCGUGCGUAUAUUUAUGAGUUAAGUAUAUUUAUGAGUUAAGUGUGCACGUACGUAUGUGAGCGUUUUGUCUUUAUUGUGGUUCGAAAAAAACGUGGUGAAUGAAAGUAAUCUAUUAUUUUAUUUGGAAAAAAAUAUAUAACUACAUACCAUGCCACUUUGUCGGUUUAUCUCCUGAAUACAAUUUAGGCUCAAUUUACUUCGUCAAACUAUAUCGAUUAGUUCAGCUUCAAAACCUGUGAGCUCCUUAUGUGAAAGGAACCCGCAAAUGUAUAGCACUCAUCUUAUACUUUUGUUCUCAUUUCAUGUAAAAAGAUUAAUCUGAAGAUAUAUAUUUGAAAGGACAACCAAUUUCAACUACAGUUGUAUAUUGAGCUGGGUAUUACACUCCCCUCUUUUUAAAGGCUAACGUCUGCCUUCGGCAGAUCACCGCACACAUACACAGCAGAUGUCGAGAAUCACCCGUCGAUACACGAUCGUGCCGCGGACGGCGGACAUAGCCACAUGCACGAGUUGGCACAUCUUGCAUUGCAACUAGACUGAGAUCAACGAGGCGUAUAGAGGCUUCGUCAAUCUCGAGUUGAGAUCAGCCGGCUCAUUCUCUCGUCAGUGCUCAUAAAGGUGGUCAAAAGGAAAACUAACAGAGAGGAAAAACAGGUGGGAUAAGGUGACGCCGACUACGUUUCCCUCGUGAAGGUCCACCUCGCGCCUCGAUCGGAGGCGCAACCGAACUAUGGUUGUGGCCCCGAGCGACCCUGCGCUAUAAGAAAAGGGGGAGCCGGCGGCGGGUUUUGGGUUGACUGCUAACGCACCAAAACCUCCAGAGAACUCCCCCCACACGCCAACCCGAUCGUGGCAGCGCUGGAAUCGCCCUAAGGCUACCGCAACACCACCAUCGCCGUCCCUGGACAGACGAGGUGGAGGCCCGAAGGCAGGCAUGAUCUACGUCAAGCUUGUACACCUACGGCGAGCACACCUACGGCAGAUCCCAUCCCGGCCUCGUCCACGACAAUCAUGGCCGGAUCGUCGCAAACUAUGGCUGCCGACUUGACUCUAUCAAGCGUCAUAAGCUAUGUUAACGGCAUACAGAAGCUUGGGGGAGAUAACUUUACCAACUGGAAGAAUGAUAUUGGGUUGGUCCUUUGCAUCAUGGACAGGGACCACUCCAUGAGGGAUAAGUAUCCUGUUGCUCCUACUGCUCAAGGGGAUAAUGACACCACCCUCCCUGAGCGCACUGCUACCUAUGAGAAGGAAAAGGAGCGGUGGGAGCGAUCAGACAGGGUAGCCCUAAUGAUCAUGAAGCAGACGAUAAACCCGGCAAUAAGGGAAGCCAUUGAGAAACAUCCCAAAAGUGCCAAACAUUUCAUGGAGAAGGUUGAGGAGUACUUCAAAGGCUCCAGUAAGGCUAAUGCUAGCACCCUCCUGACAAAGCUAAUGAACACCAAGUAUGAUGGACAAGGCAGUGUUAGGGAGAAUAUCAUGAGUCUCGUUGACCUAAGGGAUAAGCUCAACGACUUGAAUUGCUCCCUUAAUGAUGAGACACUGCUUCAUCACAUCAUGCUCUCGUUGCCUUCAGUGUUUGAACCCUUUAAGAUAAACUAUAAUGGUAGUGACGCGAAGUGGGAUAUUCCCACACUCAUCGCGAAGUGUUCUUAGGAGGAAGAAAGGCUCAGAUAAGAGAAGGACGAUUUUGCCAACCUCAUCAGGCAUGAGGUGAAUAAAGGCAAGAAUAAGCAAAUCUCCCCUUUUAAGAAAAUUAAGAAAAAUAAGAAACCUAAUCAACCUCCUCCUCCUAAGAAUGAUGGGUCAUCCUCGUCUAAGGGUCCUAGAUGCCAUCACUGCAAGGAUUAUGGACAUAUUAAGAAGCAUUGUGCUCAGUUCAAGGAAUGAUGCAUCAAGAAUGGAAUUACAUGGCGCGCGGACUAUAAGAAGGGAGACUCGCACCGUUAAAGUUGCAAAUGGGCUUGAAGCUGAAGUUGAGGCUAUUGGAGAUCUCUCUAUAGAACUUAGCAAUAACUUUAUGCUUCAUUUAAGUAAUGUCCUUUAUGUACCGUCACUUAAGAGGAACUUGAUUUCAGUUUCAGCAUUAGAUUGUGAUGGAUAUUCUUGCAAUUUUGGAAACAAUCAGUGUGUAAUAAGUUUUAAUAAUCAGAUUAUU